UGAACGCUGGCGGCGUGCUUAACACAUGCAAGUCGAACGGUAACAGAAGCAGCUUGCUGCUUGCUGACGAGUGGCGCACGGGUGAGUAAUAUAUAGAUAACGUGCCUCUUAGUCUGGGAUAGCCAUUGGAAACGAUGAUUAAUACUGGAUACUCCUUCUAACUCUAAUGUUAGUCGGGAAAGUUUUUCGCUAAGAGAUCGGUCUAUAUCCCAUCAGCUUGUUGGUGAGGUAAGAGCUCACCAAGGCAAUGACGGGUAGCGGGUUUGAGAGGAUGAUCCGCCACACUGGUACUGAGACACGGACCAGACUCCUACGGGAGGCAGCAGUGAGGAAUAUUGCACAAUGGGGGAAACCCUGAUGCAGCAACGCCGCGUGGAGGAUGACGCAUUUCGGUGUGUAAACUCCUUUUAUAUGUCAAGAAAAUGACGGUAGCAUAUGAAUAAGCACCGGCUAACUCC
RNAcentral lists this ribosomal RNA (458 nucleotides) under uncultured bacterium. RNAcentral's name for it is "bacterial SSU rRNA". It matches the Rfam family "Bacterial small subunit ribosomal RNA", at positions 30 to 504 of the family's 1533-position model. The record is from RNAcentral.